AGGAGACCCCCGAGGGACGGAGGAGACCCCCGAGGGGCGGAGGAGACCCCAAAGUUCCGGGGGAGACCCCCGAGGGGUCGAGGAGACCCCCGAGGGGAGGGGGAGACCCCCGAGGGGCGGAGGAGACCCCCGAGGGGUGGGGGAGACCCCCGAGGGGCAGGGGAGACCCCGAGGGUCCGGGGCACUCACCCGAGUGGGUUUUGGCUGUUCCGGAGGAGUUUUUGGGGGGUUCGGUUCGGGUCCUUACGGACGGGACGGUCCCGGUUCGGGUCCCGGUUCGGGUCCCCUCCGGGCGGGUUCCGGUCCCUUGGCGCGGGACGGGGACGGUUCGGGACGGUUAGGUCUGUCCGGAGCGGUUCGGCUCCUCCCGGUUCGGUUCCCUCAGGCGGGUUCGGGUUCCCUCAGGCGGGUUCGGGCUCCCUCAGGCGGGUUCCGGUUCCCUCAGGCGGGUCCGAGUCCCCUCAGGCAAGUUCGGGACCUUCCGAACAGCUUCGGGUGCACGUUCGGGCCCCCCCGGUGGGGUUCGGGUCUCUCCGGGAGUGUUCGGGUCCCGCUUCGAGUCCAAGUUCGGCUGUUUCCGGAGCGGUUCGGCCCCUCCCGGUUCGGACCCUUCGGGCGCGUUCGGGUCUCUCCGCCGGGCGGUGCCCAGCGGGGCGUGGCCAGCGGGGAGUGACGUCAGGGGGUCCCGGAAUGACGUCACAGCAUCCCCACGAACUGGGGGGGGGGGGUCCCCAAAAGGGGGGGAGGGGCACCCACGUGUGUGGGUGGGGGAGGGGAGGGGGUGACACGAGGGACAAAGGGCGGCGCCCCCGCCCCUCCCCCCGCUCGGUUUUGGGCCGUUUUGGGCUGUUUUGGGAAGUUUUGGGCCGUUACCGGGGGAACGCGACCGCGGCCGCCCCAAAUAUUGCCGUGGUUGCCAUGGGAACGGGGUGGGGGGGGUAGGAGCGGGUGGGGGAGGGGCUCAGGGCGCGGGGGGGGCGCGGGGACCCCCCAAAUUCAGCGGGGGGGGGGGUGGGGAGGGGUCCCUCGCGGCUCAGCACCUGUGGGAGGAGGGGGCUCAGGGGGGCACCCAUGGCACCGGGACCCCCACCCAUAGGGCUGGGACCCCACCCAUGGCACCGGGACCCCCACCCAUAGGGCUGGGACCCCACCCAUAGAUUUUGGACCCCCACCCAUGGCCCUGGGACACCCACCCACAUCCCAGGACCCCCCCACG
This 1216-nucleotide long non-coding RNA is filed under the name Taeniopygia guttata (zebra finch). RNAcentral's name for it is "lncRNA (ENSTGUG00000025952.1)". Lineage: Eukaryota; Metazoa; Chordata; Aves; Passeriformes; Estrildidae. The record is from RNAcentral.